Molecule: ribosomal RNA, 676 nt
Filed under: orange sea anemone 2301-1
Lineage: Eukaryota; Metazoa; Cnidaria; Anthozoa; Actiniaria
Description: partial 16S ribosomal RNA
Rfam family: Bacterial large subunit ribosomal RNA
Source: RNAcentral
UCUCUGCCAAAGCUAAAUGCUGAAGUAUGGAGGGUGAAGCCUGCCCGAUGGUUGUGUCUGAAAAGGUUGGCUAAAGUCAACUUCAUAAGGGCAAUUGAAUGGCCGCGGUAACACUGACCGUGAUAAUGUAGCGUAAUCAAUAGCCAAUUAAUUGUUGGCCGGUAUGAAUGGCAUCACGAAGGCCCCACUGUCUUAAGAGGACUCUCCAUGAAAUUGAAUUCGUAGUGAAGAUGCUACGUCCAUAUUGUAAGACGAAAAGACCCCAUUGAGCUUUACUAAAGACUUGUAUGGCUCGAAAUAACUUAAAUAAAAAGUUUAGAUAAUGUGGGAUCCGUUUUUGGUUAAUGAAACACCACUCUUUUAUUUUAAGAGAGCUAACCUGACAGGGAGAAUCCAAGUUGGAUAGUUUGGUUGGGCCGACCACCUUUUAAAAGGUAACGAAGGUGAGCUUAAGGUCCAUAGUUAAUAGCUUGUGGCCUGACUGCAAGGGGGACACCCCGAGCAGACACGUCCUUAAGGAUGUGGGUUAUAGUGACCCGUCAUUUUAGAGUGGAAUAAUUGACGAUCAACGAAUAAAAGCUACCAUGGGGAUAACAGCGUUAUAUCGUUAGAGAGUUUCAUCGACGACGAUGUUUGCGACCUCGAUGUUGAAUUGCGGCACCCUGGGGUGCAGCCG